UGGGGAAUAUUGGACAAUGGGCGAAAGCUUGAUCCAGCCAUGCCGCGUGUGUGAAGAAGGUCUUCGGAUUGUAAAGCACUUUAAGUUGGGAGGAAGGGCAGUAAGCGAAUACCUUGCUGUUUUGACGUUACCGACAGAAUAAGCACCGGCUAACUCUGUGCCAGCAGCCGCGGUAAUACAGAGGGUGCAAGCGUUAAUCGGAAUUACUGGGCGUAAAGCGCGCGUAGGUGGUUCGUUAAGUUGAAUGUGAAAGCCCCGGGCUCAACCUGGGAACUGCAUCCAAAACUGGCGAGCUAGAGUAGGGCAGAGGGGGGUGGAAUUUCCUGUGUAGCGGUGAAAUGCGUGGAUAUAGGAAGGAACACUAGUGGCGAAGGCGACCACCUGGGCUCAUACUGACACUGAGAUGCGAAAGAGUGGGGAGCAAACAGG
Molecule: ribosomal RNA, 429 nt
Filed under: Pseudomonadota bacterium
Lineage: Bacteria; Pseudomonadati; Pseudomonadota
Description: Proteobacteria bacterium partial 16S ribosomal RNA
Rfam family: Bacterial small subunit ribosomal RNA
Source: RNAcentral